CCUACGUGAGGCAGCAGUGAGGAAUAUUGGUCAAUGGGCGCGAGCCUGAACCAGCCAAGUAGCGUGAAGGAUGACUGCCCUACGGGUUGUAAACUUCUUUUAUAAAGGAAUAAAGUGAGGCACGUGUGCCUUUUUGUAUGUACUUUAUGAAUAAGGAUCGGCUAACUCCGUGCCAGCAGCCGCGGUAAUACGGAGGAUCCGAGCUUUAUCCGGAUUUAUUGGGUUUAAAGUGAGCGUAGAUGGGUUGUUAAGUCAGUUGUGAAAGUUUGCGGCUCAACCGUAAAAUUGCAAUUGAUACUGUCAGUCUUGAGUACAGUUGAGGUAGGCGGAAUUCGUGGUGUAGCGGUGAAAUGCUUAGAUAUCACGAAGAACUCCGAUUGCGAAGGCAGCUUACUAAACUGCCACUGACAUUGAUGCUCGAAAGUGUGGGUAUCAAACAGGAUUAGAUACCCCUGUAGUC
RNAcentral lists this ribosomal RNA (460 nucleotides) under uncultured bacterium. Its description in RNAcentral is "partial 16S ribosomal RNA". It matches the Rfam family "Bacterial small subunit ribosomal RNA", at positions 338 to 795 of the family's 1533-position model. The record is from RNAcentral.